Long non-coding RNA from Apis cerana (Asiatic honeybee), 3657 nucleotides. RefSeq lists it as uncharacterized. Lineage: Eukaryota; Metazoa; Arthropoda; Insecta; Hymenoptera; Apidae. The record is from RefSeq and is a predicted model, not a curated record.
GCACAUCUUGUACUAUAUCAGUACCUGGAACAUGAGAUGAUCAAAUUAUCGAUUUAUUUAAAUUUUAUCUUUUCAUUAAUUUUCUUUUCUAUUUCUCUUUAGAAAUUAAAAAAAUCAACAACAAUAUUAAACACCAAUAUUCAAACAUUUUUUAACUUAUAUAUAAUCAGUAAACGAACACAAAAAUGGGCUUCGUAAAAAGGAUGUUUUAUUACCUCAUGAAAUAGCCGCAUGCGCGCUACUGUCCUCGAAACUUCGUUUAGUCGAGACCUCUAGUGAGAAACUUCUCAUUAAAGUUCAUUUCGUAAGGAGCAUUGAUAUGUGCACGAAGCCUUAUAUAUUAGUGAUGUAACAUUUGUAUACUUAUAUUGAAUCUCUCUCUUAGUGUUAAAAUCAUAUAUCGUGAUCAAAAGAGACAAUACAAAUAUACUUUUCUCUUUUCGUCUUUUAUGUAUUGCAAACAAAAAUAAUGGAUACAUAGUAUAUGGUGUUUCAAACUGUCAAAUCGCGAUCAUGAAAUCAAAGUAUACAUCAUGGCGUAUCUAUAAUAACUAUAUCGAAUGGUUCAAAGUUGAACGAAAAUAGAAAAGAAAGAAAUUGAGAAAAAGAAAGAAAAAAGGAAAUAAAAUAUAAAUAAUAAAGAGGAAAAAAGAAGAAAAAAAUACAGAGACAGAAGAAAAGAGAGAGUGAAUCUUCUCAUUUAAAAAUAUAAAGAAUAGCACGGGAAAAAGAAGUGAUUAGUGCCAAUCAUUGUUUGAAUAUUACUUUUAUAUUGUGUUGAUCCAACCACACGGAUGCGUUAAUUGAUAUAAUAAAUGUGACAGUGACUAUCACUAAUAGCUGUGGAAUAUCACGACACAUUUCAUCUUUCUAUCCGUUUGCAUUUCUAUAUAUACCUCACUUAACCUGUAGAUUUAUGGAUAUUUGCUUCGUGGAAUUCUAUAACUGCAGAUUUUCCUAUUAGUUUCUUUCUAGUUUUAUUUCUAAUUUCUCUUUCUCUUUGCAAUUAUAUGCAGUAUCCUUUAUUAUAUUCUUAUAGAAUUUUAAGAUAUGGAAUUGAUAUAAUUAAUAUUUUCUAUAAAUUUUAAUUUAUUAUCAUCAUUAUAAUUGAUGUUUUUUUUUUAAUAUAUACAGAGAAGAUUAAACGUUAUAUAAUCCUUCAUUAUAUAUCAAGAUUUAAAUUACAAAUUUAAAUUAAAUGCAAUCUUUUAUAAAAAAAAAAAAACUAUAAAAACUAACAUGAUAUAUUAUUAUGUUAUGCAUGAUUAAUGUAAAAUUAUUACAUAAUAGAUUGUCGUAGUCAUAAAUUACAUUAAAAAAAGAUAUCAUUGAAUUGAAGUCAUCACAAAUUUUGUGCAUGAUAUUAACGAAAAUUAUAUUGAAUACAUAAUGAAUAUGUUCCUUUCAAAAAAAUUGUAUGGUUUUUCAUUAACAAAAUAUGAUCGAAAACAAUCUAUGACGUCAGAGAAAAUAUGAAAGAAGUGUUUAAUAGUAAACUGCGCUACAUAUUAAUUUAAUAUUGAUAUUGAUAUAAUAAUGAUUAUUUUAUUCCUAUAUAUAUAAUAAAAGUAAAUUUAUAUUUUAUUUUAAAAAACAUUUAACAUUAUUUAACGCACAAACACUGUUGCGAAAAAUAAUAGGUUAUUUUUUUGUUAAACCAAGGUGUGUAGAUUUCAGAUUUUACGGCAGCUGAACGUGACUAGAAAGAGCGUUACGGCCAAUUUAAUAGCAUUCAUGCGAGAAUUGACACUUGACACGUGGUGCCGUUUGACCGAAGGUCGAUCGUUAUUCAGGAUUAAGCAUGCGCGUGAAAACAGCGCCAAAAUCACUGGACUCGCCUAACCGACCGUUGUUUUCAUAUUCUCUAAAACAUUGUUUAUAAUAACUUCGCUUUUUUUCAUUAUUUUACAGCCUUCGAGAAUAUUUAUCUGAAAUUCUGCAAUAAUGCAUGACGAUAGUAUAAAAGAGAAACAAAAUUAAAAAACCAGUAAAGGAAUUUUGAGGAUAAUCACUUGCAGCCAAUCGGUCAUCGACCUUUGCCUUGCAACGUAUAUGUAAAUAUAAUAUACGUUUUGCACGUUAGAUGUCGCUCAUUAUGCAUUUUAAAUGAUAAUCUCAAGAAAUUAUAAAUUACACUAUGGAUUAAAAUCAAAACAAUAAAUACUAUGUGGAGCUUGCAUUCGACAUAUUAAAGCAAGAAAGAUUUUUUGCUCGUUCCGUGUAUCUUUAUCUUUAUUACUCAUUCAUUAUCACUAUAUUUUAUUUAGUAUCAGACUUAUUCCCUCUUUUUACUACGCAUCGAACUAAUGUGAUAUUUUCUGCCAAUAGGGAAAAUAUGUGUGACAAGGUCAUUUUAAGUAAGAGUAAGACAGCGUUCCAGCCAAUUAGACCUACAUUCCUUUCCAAUGCAAACUCUCGAGUUUCAAUACAUUUUUAGAUGGUUCACUACAUCUUCUUGAUUAGAAUUAAAACCAGAAUCAUAUUAUUAUUAAUGCUAUGUUAAUCAUGAUCACAUUUUAAUAUUCCGAGUUUUUUAUGAACGAGAAGGUUCAACAAAUAAAUGAAUAUCAAUAUUUAAGAUAUAUUGUUAUUCAUCUUUUGGAUCAAUAAGAAUCGAUAUGACAGGCCCAAUCGACAGGCCCACAGGUCACAGUUUCUUUUCAUGAGAUGUAAAAGGAGACGAUCUUGUAUUAGUAACUGUAAGCGACUUCACCUUCCAUCAGCAGGGGGCAACAAGCCUGUCAGACAACGAUGCGGACACGACAAUAAUAACACAAGACAGAGAACACGCGAGAAAUGGACAUAGAAAAUUUCUAUAUAUAUAUAUAUAUAUAGUAUAUGUUAGUAAUAUUCUUGACUCGAAGAAAAUACAAUAUUCAAUAUUAUAUCAUUGAAGUUUAUCUUUCUGAGCUUGUUAAAAAUCUAUUUUUAUAUAAAUUUGAAAAAGAUCUUUAAGAUUUUCUUCAUAAUAUAUAUAAUAUGUAUGAAAUGAAAAUUAAUUUUUAUUAUUAUAAUUUUGAUUGCCUAAAGAUUAUUAUAUAUUUUAUUUCAUAUUUGGCUGAAAUAUUUAUUUCAAAACAUCUGUAAAAUAUCCAUACUCGCUAUGGAUAGAUAUUAAGUAUGAUGAUUCACCUGUUAUAUUAUGUUUAUACAAAAUUGAAAAAUAACAGACGUAUAUUGUGCUGAUACGAAUAAAAACAGAAUUCAAUUUAAUAAUCAAAUCAGAAGUUUUUUUACAAAUAAGUUAAUAAUUUAAAAAAUUAAAAGUAUUUUAACUAAAAAAAUUAUAAUGUAUGCUACAUUAAAUAAAUCUUGAAUUAAUAAUUAUCAUAUUUAUAGAAAAAUAUAAUAAUUUAAAUAUUUAAAAAAUAAAAAAAUAUAAAUAUAAAAUAAUUUAAAAAUAAAUAUAUUGGAUAGUCAUGCGGUAUUGUUGUCUUCGUUAAUGUCAUCGGUCAUCGCGUUAAUAUAUCAUUUCAAUUUGUAAAAAUAUUUUAAAAUUAUUGCAUUUAUAAUUGCUUUUAUGUAAUCUAAUUAAAAAUUGAAAAAUCUAAAGAAUUUUUUUUUAAAUAAUUAAUGAUUGUAUAUGCUUAUAUCAUUUUUAAAUAGUGUUCUUAUCUGUUCUAGAAAUACUAGUUUAAAUAAAUCUGUGCUUGUCAA